Molecule: ribosomal RNA, 458 nt
Filed under: uncultured bacterium
Lineage: Bacteria
Description: partial 16S ribosomal RNA
Rfam family: Bacterial small subunit ribosomal RNA
Source: RNAcentral
CCUACGGGUGGCAGCAGUGGGGAAUAUUGCACAAUGGGCGCAAGCCUGAUGCAGCGACGCCGCGUGCGGGAUGGAGGCCUUCGGGUUGUAAACCGCUUUUGUUCAAGGGCAAGGCACGGUCUUUGGCCGUGUUGAGUGGAUUGUUCGAAUAAGCACCGGCUAACUACGUGCCAGCAGCCGAGGUCAUACGUAGGGUGCAAGCGUUAUCCGGAUUUAUUGGGAGUAAAGGGCUCGUAGGCGGGUCGUCGCGUCCGGUGUGAAAGUGCAGGGCUUAACGGGGGAUCCGCGCAGGAUACGGGCGGGCUUGAGUGCGGUAGGGGAGACUGGAAUUCCCGGUGUAACGGUGGAAUGUGUAGAUAUCGGGAAGAACACCAGUGGCGAAGGCAGGUCUCUGGGCCGUUACUGACGCUGAGGAGCGAAAGCGUGGGGAGCGAACAGGAUUAGAUACCCGGGUAGUC